ACAAGUCUAGCCUGCGGUGGCAGCUGCAAGCGAGAAGGCAUGCAAGCACUUAACACUAUCUAGGCUACCACACCAUUGCUUCACAGCACUCUGCGCAUGCAGCACCCACCCAUGGACCACUCAUUUAGAAUUUACGCUUCUUCGCUAUUAGAUAUUCAUAUGAGUAUGAUUCAUAUGAAUUGAAAUGUAUAGUGUACCACUCAUUUAGAAUUUCCACUUUCUCACUAUUAGAUAUUCAGGGGUUGGUACACAGGACGAAGGACACUUGCCAAGAAAUGGCCUUCCACCUCUUCAGCAGUGACCAAGAUCUGCGCACUUGAGAGCGGUGCAUAUCCCAAUCCUCUAUCAGAUGAGCCAGGCAACAAGCAUCUGUUAAUUCCAGUGUCUCCUGGGAGAUGAAAUUCUGUCUUGCUCUCGGGUACUCACCAAUCUAUUCCUGAAAUGCAUCAAGCGUUUCACACUUGAAGAUAUUGCUAAUGGGUUAUCUUUGAGGGAAGAAAGACUGGCAGUGCCCACCUCCCCCGUGCCUCCCAUUAACCCCAGGGGGUUAAGGGGCAAGAGUUAGUACAAGGCCAGGGCGUGUCCACACGCCAGUGGGCCAUGACCCUGUACCUCUGGAGCCUCCUGCUGCUUCAAAAUCUACUGUUUAGCCUGGGACCGCUAGGUACCAGUUACCAUAGGUGGCCACUAGGUGGCACUGUAGAAGUCUUCAUGAUGGAGAGGCUGUGAACUGGUAGGGGAGGCUUAUGCAGAGCUCCCUACUUUGCACUAGGCUAGCCAUUGGUGGUAGCUGCAAGCGAGAAGGAAGGUAAGCACUAUUCUGGCUACCACACAAUUACUUCACACCACCCUGCACAUGAAGCACCCACUGUAUAAUGGACUACUCAUUUAGAAUUUACGCUUUCAUGUUAUUAGAUACUGUUAUGAGUAUGACUCAUAAGAACGACGGAUUGGACUGUAUAAUGGAUCAUUCAUAUAGAAUUUAUGCUGUCUCACUAUUAGAUAUUCAUAUGAGUACGACUCAUAAGAACGACGAAUUGAAAUGUAUAAUGGACCACUCAUUUAGAAUUUACACUUUCUCGCUAUUAGAUUCUCAGGGUUGGUAUGUAGAAUAAAGGACACUUACCAAGAAAUGGCCGUCCACCUCCUCAGCAGUGACCAAACUCUGCGCACCUGAGAGCGGUGCAUAUCCCGAUCCCCUGUCUGAAGAGCCGUGCAACAAGCAUUUGUGGCUUCCAGUGUCUACUGGGAGGUAGACACAGGAUACUCACCAAGCUAUUCUUGGGAUGCAUCAAGCGUUUCACACUUGAAGACAUUGCGAAUGGGUUAUCUCUGAGGGGAAGAGGACUGACAGGGCCCAUCUCUGCUGAACCUCCCAUUAGCUCCAGGGGGCUUAGGGGCAAGAGUUAGUUCAAAGCCAGGGCGUGUCCACACGCUUGUGGGCCAUGACCCUGUACCUCUGGAGCCUCCUGCUGCUUCAAGAACCCCUACUGUUUAGCCUGGGACCGCAAGGUACCAGUUACCAUAGGUGGCCACUAGGAGGCACUGCAGAAAUCUUGAUGAUGGAGAGGCUGUGAACUGGUAGAGGAGGCUUAUGCAGAGCUGCUCCCUACUUCGCACUAGGCUAGCCAGUGGUGUCAGCUGCAAGCGAGAAGGAAUGCAAGCACUAUUUAGGCUACCACACAUCGCUUCACACCACCCUGCACAUGAAGCACCCACUGUAUAAAGGACCACCCAUUUAGAAUUUACGCUUUCUCGCUAUAGAUAUCCAAUUGAGUAAGACUCAUAAGAAUGACGAAUUGGACUGUUUAAUGGACCACUCAUUUAGAAUUUACGAUUACUCGCCAUUAGAUAUUCAUAUGAGUACAACUCAUAAGAACGACAAAUUGGACUGUAUAAGGGACCAGUCAUUUAGAAUUUACUUUUUCUCACUAUUAGAUAUUCAUAUAAGUACGACGAAUUGGAAUGUGUAAUGGACCAGUCAUUUAGAAUUUACGCUUUCUCGCUAUUAGAUUCUCGGGUUGGUACACAGAACAGGCACUUAUCCAGAAAUGGCCCUCCACCUCCCCAGCAGUGACCAAACUCUGCGCAACUGAGAGCGGUGCAUAUCCCGAUCCCGUCUGAUGAGCCGCGCAACAAGCAUCUGUGGCUUCCAGUGUCUCCUCGGUGAUCAAUUUCUGUCUUGCUCUCCGGUACUCACCAAUCUCAUCUCUGAGGGGAGGAGGACUGGCAGGGCCCACCUCCCCCGUGCCUCCCAUUAACCCUAGGGGGAUUAGCGGUAAGAGUUAGCACAAAGCCAGGGCUUGUUCACACGCCGGUGGGCCAUGACCCUCUACCUCUGGAGGCUCCUGCUGUUUCAAAAUCUCCAACUGUUUAGCCUGGGACCUAAAGGUACCAGUUUCCAUAGGUGGCCACUAGGAGGCACUACAGAAGUCUUCAUGAUGGAAAGGCUGUGAAAUAUCAUAUAUGAUAUUUAUAUAUGUGAUAAAUUCGAUGAAUUCAUUAUUUCGAAAUCUGCAGAGAUAUCACGUCACUUUCAUUCAUUAACUUCUCAAAUGGUAUAACAUUUCUGUUAAUCAUCAAAUAUUCACAUUUCAUGUUUGUCCUUUCAUUCCAAACAGAAUCACCUAUCUACAAUCUCACUAUUUUAGCCGAGCAAGCAAAGAGAUACUGCGACUUUCUAUGCUUGUUUUAUUGCAGUCCCCUGUAGCAUUUUCAUGUUUUAUAAUAUACUUAACGCAAUUAUAGGAGUAGAGAUUGAUGAUGCAAUCACUAGACAGAGAGGCGUCUAGGUUGCCAACAAAACAAAACAAACUUUCUUCCUGACUUUUUUUUUGUAUCAAUUGCAAUACUUCCUCAGUCUUUCAUAUAUGUUCUGAGGUGGUUAGGAGUGCAAGUAAAUGCAUGCAGCUUACAGUUGUUAUUCCCGAUAUCUAUUCACUCCUUGUCUAGUACAUACAAACAACUGAAUAGAAGAUAAAAAUAAGGUCAUUAAGGAAAAAAUGGCUUGUGUUUGCACUUGGUUUCUAUAUCUCCUAUCUUUGGCCCUUGUGUAUAUUGUGAUUUAGAGGCUGGCCAGAAUGCCCAGAGCCUUUCAGUGCAAAUAACCACAACUCCUCGGGAUGCCGUUGGAAGGGCGCCACCAGCAAGAAGGUCUAUAGAACCCCAACCUAGAACCCAGAAUCCAUUAAAUAACCACCAUAGAAUGCAACAGGAAAAAAUGGGCACCACUUGCCAGAAUAACCACGGAACUUCAGGCAAAGAUCAAGGCUAAAGAAGUGAAGGAUAGCCAAAAAUACAGUGCGCAUGACGACACUGAGACUUAUCCAAUAACACCAUCUGAGGAUGAGGUCGGCGGACGGAAAGGAAGUUCCGAAUGUGGAUGACCAAAAGUGCAGUUCACACAAGGACUAUGGUGAAGUUGUUGGCUGACGGUAAAUAUACAUAGAAAGACAUUCCUUUCUUUUCGCAAGAUUAGUACUUGCUCCUUAGAUUCACACCACACAAUACUUGGUCGAGUGACGCCGAAGGGAGGGACAAGGAGGUUUACUGUAUCACUGUAAGUGUCCUAAGUGUCCAAGGACGCGGGGUGAGGAAGACGACAUCGAAUAUCGCAUUUUCCAAUUGGAAUGAGUUCCUCUGUUUAAACAGAUGGUCAAGGUUUAAGAGAUGCACAUGUCCUACAUCGUCGAUGUUGGCCCAGCAUUGGAAUUUUACAACUUAAAUCACCUGGAUGAGCCUUUUUAAGGCCUACACGGACGACAACUUGUUAUUAUUGUGGUUGUCCUCACGAAUAGCUGUGGCUAGAAAAACAAUCCGAUGUUGCCUCUGCACAGGAACAGCGACAGGAAGACUAACCAAGUAUUCUUGCCACACCCUGGUCUUCUAUGAAAAUACUGUCUGCCACGACAGUUGCGGUUGAAGAUGCAGUCCAGCGGCACUGUCGAAGAUUCCAUGUGUGAUAGUCCGAGGUAUAGGAUGUUACUGUGACCUCUCCAGAGACCGGAGAAGAUCAGGACAGAAGCAGUUAAGCCUUCGUCAGCAAAGGACCUACCUUCUUCAUCUCAUCCCAGCGGGGCGUCGUUUCCUCCGCCAUGUCACCCGCCAGCGCAUGCCCAAAAGACACCAACCUGUUCCUGAAAAUCUACGCUCUGUACACGGCGUGAUGCUGCGAUGCGACAAUAAAUGCUUACGCCCCAU
This is a non-coding RNA of Penaeus vannamei (Pacific white shrimp), 4200 nucleotides long. The record is from RefSeq and is a predicted model, not a curated record. NCBI's taxonomy places the organism in Eukaryota, Metazoa, Arthropoda, Malacostraca, Decapoda, Penaeidae.